This 207-nucleotide ribosomal RNA is filed under the name uncultured bacterium. RNAcentral's name for it is "partial 16S ribosomal RNA". It matches the Rfam family "Bacterial small subunit ribosomal RNA", at positions 524 to 730 of the family's 1533-position model. The record is from RNAcentral.
GACGUAGGGCGCGAGCGUUGUCCGGAUUUAUUGGGCGUAAAGAGCUCGUAGGCGGCUUGUCGCGUCGAAUGUGAAAACCCACGGCUCAACUGUGGGCUUGCAUUCGAUACGGGCAGGCUAGAGUUCGGUAGGGGAGACGUGGAAUUCCUGGUGUAGCGGUGAAUGACGCAGAUAUCAGGAGGAACACCGGUGGCGAAGGCGGUCUCU